This 664-nucleotide small RNA is filed under the name uncultured Thelephoraceae. RNAcentral describes it as "eukaryotic LSU rRNA". The stretch from base 248 to 402 matches the Rfam family "5.8S ribosomal RNA". The record is from RNAcentral. Lineage: Eukaryota; Fungi; Basidiomycota; Agaricomycetes; Thelephorales; Thelephoraceae.
AAGUCGUAACAAGGUUUCCGUAGGUGAACCUGCGGAAGGAUCAUUACUGAGUCGUCGACACGAGUUGUUGCUGGUCCUCAAACAGGGGACAUGUGCACGCUCUGUUUACACAUCCACUCACACCUGUGCACCCUCUGUAGUUCUAUGGUCUGGGGGGCCCUGCCUCCCUUCUGUGGUUCUGCAUAUUUACACACACAAUGUAACAAAGUCUUAUGGAAUGUACAUCGCGUUUAACGCAAUACAAUACAACUUUCAGCAACGGAUCUCUUGGCUCUCGCAUCGAUGAAGAACGCAGCGAAAUGCGAUAAGUAAUGUGAAUUGCAGAAUUCAGUGAAUCAUCGAAUCUUUGAACGCACCUUGCGCCCCUUGGCUAUUCCGAAGGGCAUGCCUGUUUGAGUAUCAUGAACACCUCAACUCCCGUGGUUUGCCAUGGUGAGCUUGGACUUUGGAGGUUUUGCUGGCCCAUGGUCAGCUCCUCUCAAAUGAAUUAGCCUGCCAGUGUUUGGUGGCAUCACAGGUGUGAUAAAUAUCUACGCUUGCGAUUGCCCACCAGGUAACCUUCAGCAAUGGGGGUUCGCUGGGGCUCAUAGACGUCUCUCCCUCGGCGAGGACAGUUUUUUUAACGUUCGAUCUCAAAUCAGGUAGGACUACCCGCUGAACUUAA